ACCUGGCUGGCUCAGUUGGUGUAGAGCGCAACUCUUGAUUUGAGGUUGUGAGUUCAAGCCCCAUGCUGGGUG
This 72-nucleotide transfer RNA is filed under the name Felis catus (domestic cat). It matches the Rfam family "tRNA". Rfam says of the family: Transfer RNA (tRNA) molecules are approximately 80 nucleotides in length. Their secondary structure includes four short double-helical elements and three loops (D, anti-codon, and T loops). Lineage: Eukaryota; Metazoa; Chordata; Mammalia; Carnivora; Felidae. The record is from Rfam by way of RNAcentral.